This is a non-coding RNA of Pangasianodon gigas (Mekong giant catfish), 72 nucleotides long. The record is from the annotation of a GenBank genome assembly. NCBI's taxonomy places the organism in Eukaryota, Metazoa, Chordata, Actinopteri, Siluriformes, Pangasiidae.
GUUCCCCAGUUUUCUUCCACCCCUUGAAAACAUGCCACAUAAUGAUUAACUAAUGGUCUGACUUGUGAGACU